Molecule: ribosomal RNA, 402 nt
Filed under: uncultured bacterium
Lineage: Bacteria
Description: bacterial SSU rRNA
Rfam family: Bacterial small subunit ribosomal RNA
Source: RNAcentral
UGGGGAAUCUUGCACAAUGGGGGCAACCCUGAUGCAGCGAUGCCGCGUGAGCGAUGAAGCCCUUCGGGGCGUAAAGCUCUUACGACCGGAACGAUAAUGACGGUACCGGGAGAAGAAGCUGCGGCUAACUACGUGCCAGCAGCCGCGGUAAUACGUAGGCAGCAAGCGUUGUUCGGAGUUACUGGGCGUAAAGAGUGCGUAGGCGGUUUUCUAAGUUCGGUGUGAAAUCUCCCGGCUUAACUGGGAGGGUGCGCCGAAGACUGGGAAGCUGGAGUGUGGGAAAGNCAGGCGGAAUUCCUGGUGUAGCGGUGAAAUGCGUAGAUAUCAGGAGGAACACCGGCGGUGUAGACGGCUUGCUAGACCAUAACUGACGCUGAGGCACGAAAGCGUGGGUAGCAAACA